Molecule: ribosomal RNA, 1435 nt
Filed under: uncultured marine bacterium
Lineage: Bacteria
Description: partial 16S ribosomal RNA
Rfam family: Bacterial small subunit ribosomal RNA
Source: RNAcentral
GAGUUUGAUCAUGGCUCAGAACGUACGCUGGCGGCACGCCUAAUACAUGCAAGUCGAACGAAGUAGCAAUACUUAGUGGCAGACGGGUGAGUAACAUGUGGGUAUCUUCCCUUUGGUGAGGAAUAACACGAGGAAACUUGUGCUAAUACCUCAUAAGUCUUUACGGAGAAAGCUUUAUGCGCCAAUGGAUGAGCCUGCACUUGAUUAGUUUGUUGGUGGGGUAAUGGCCUACCAAGACUGUGAUCAAUAGCUGAUUUGAGAGGAUGAUCAGCCACAUUGGGACUGAGACACGGCCCAAACUCCUACGGGAGGCAGCAGUAGGGAAUCUUGCACAAUGGAGGAAACUCUGAUGCAGCGAUGCCGCGUGAGUGAAGAAGGCCUUUGGGUUGUAAAGCUCUUUCGUCGGGGAAGAAAAUGACUGUACCCGAAUAAGAAGGUCCGGCUAACUUCGUGCCAGCAGCCGCGGUAAUACGAAGGGACCUAGCGUAGUUCGGAAUUACUGGGCUUAAAGAGUUCGUAGGUGGUUAAAAAAGUUGGUGGUGAAAGCCCAGAGCUUAACUCUGGAACGGCCAUCAAAACUUUUUAGCUAGAGUAUGAUAGAGGAAAGCAGAAUUUCUAGUGUAGAGGUGAAAUUCGUAGAUAUUGGAAAGAAUACCAAUUGCGAAGGCAGCUUUCUGGAUCAUUACUGACACUGAGGAACGAAAGCAUGGGUAGCGAAGAGGAUUAGAUACCCUCGUAGUCCAUGCCGUAAACGAUGUGUGCUAGACGUUGGAAAUAUAUUUUUCAGUGUCGCAGCGAAAGCAUUAAGCACACCGCCUGGGGAGUACGACCGCAAGGUUAAAACUCAAAUGAAUUGACGGGGACCCGCACAAGCAGUGGAGCAUGUGGUUUAAUUCGAAGAUACGUGCAGAACCUUACCAACACUUGACAUGUUCGUCGCGAGACUAAGAGAUUAGUCUUUUCAGUUAGGCUGGACGAAACACAGGUGCUGCAUGGCUGUCGUCAGCUCGUGUCGUGAGAUGUUGGGUUAAGUCCCGCAACGAGCGCAACCCCUACUUUUAGUUGCCACCAUUUAGUUGGGCACUUUAAAAGAACUGCCAGUGAUAAGCUGGAGGAAGGUGGGGAUGACGUCAAGUCCUCAUGGCCCUUAUGUGUUGGGCUACACACGUGCUACAAUGGUACUUACAAUGGGAAGCAAAGAUGCAAGUCCUAGCCAAUCCCUAAAAUGUACCUCAGUUCGGAUUGUACUCUGUAACUCGAGUGCAUGAAGCUGGAAUUGCUAGUAAUCGCGGAUCAGCGCGCCGCGGUGAAUACGUUCCCGGGUCUUGUACACACCGCCCGUCACACCAUGGAAGUUUGUUACACCUUAAGGCAAAGCUUAUACCUUUGACUACGGUACGAUCAGCAACUGGGGUGAAGUCGUAACAAGGUAACC